GACGAACGCUGGCGGCGUGCUUAACACAUGCAAGUCGAACGGAAAGGCCCUGCUUUUGUGGGGUGCUCGAGUGGCGAACGGGUGAGUAACACGUGAGUAACCUGCCCUUGACUUUGGGAUAACUUCAGGAAACUGGGGCUAAUACCGGAUAGGAGCUCCUGCUGCAUGGUGGGGGUUGGAAAGUUUCGGCGGUUGGGGAUGGACUCGCGGCUUAUCAGCUUGUUGGUGGGGUAGUGGCUUACCAAGGCUUUGACGGGUAGCCGGCCUGAGAGGGUGACCGGCCACAAUGGGACUGAGGUACGGCCCAGACUCCUACGGGAGGCAGCAGUGGGGAAUAUUGCACGAUGGGCGGAAGCCUGAUGCAGCAACGCCGCGUGCGGGAUGACGGCCUUCGGGUUGUAAACCGCUUUCGCCUGUGACGAGGCGUGAGUGACGGUAAUGGGUAAAGAAGCACCGGCUAACUACGUG
RNAcentral lists this ribosomal RNA (468 nucleotides) under uncultured bacterium. RNAcentral describes it as "partial 16S ribosomal RNA". It matches the Rfam family "Bacterial small subunit ribosomal RNA", at positions 28 to 507 of the family's 1533-position model. The record is from RNAcentral.